Molecule: long non-coding RNA, 803 nt
Organism: Rana temporaria (common frog)
Lineage: Eukaryota; Metazoa; Chordata; Amphibia; Anura; Ranidae
Exons: 2
Source: RefSeq, a predicted model, not a curated record
UUUUUUUUUUUACCUUUACAACCACUUUAAGACUUUGUAAACUACCCUCCAAACCAUAUAUUUUCUGAAUGCACAAAACCAGUAGAAUAAAAACGAUGGUGCUGCUGAUUUUGUAGGUCUUGUGAUAGUUGGGUAUCCAUGAUGAGUUUGUUUUUAUGAAAAAAAUAAAAAACAUUGUUGGCGCUUAUGAACACAGCAAUUCCUAAUGAGUCUAAAAGCUAAAACUGUUAUGUUAUGUUUUGUAAAUUUUAUAAAUUGUGCCUUUUUGUGAAAAUUGAAGGAACGCAAAACUGUAAAUAAGCCACUUGCACUAGUAAUCUGAAAGUUGACGUCGCACAACCAUAUGUCGUGGUAACACUUGAUCCGCGGUACAUUGUGAGUGAUGCAUUGGUAUGUAUUGCAAUAAAACGAUGCUGCCAAGAGCUGAAUGAAUGCAAUUGUAAAAAAAGCAAUGUGCUCCAUUGUAACAAAGCACUUUGGCACUUGUGCAAAACACAAAUGCAGGUAAUAUACACCAUAAUGUGCGCCCACAAUUCUGAUGAUGGAAGGGGGCUUUGGUGUAAUUUCAGGGUCCUCUGUCUUUUUUGGCAGUUGCAGCACAGCUGUGCCCUGUAAAGAGGCUUCCUGUUCCUUCACAAACUUAGACAGUGAAUGUUGUUUACUAUGUCCCUCAGGCCCCCAGAAAUCAUUUUUUAACUCCUUGUAAUAUAGGUUGAUACCCAUGCUGACCUCUCUUGUAACAUAAAUGUUCUUGGAGAUUGUUUUUAAUGCAGUUUAUGUCAUAAUAAAAUUAACGGGAUUUA